GAGUGGCGUGGAGCUUGCAGGCAGUGGUCUGUAGUCUGCAUGCACCCUCAGCACCUGCUGGGCCCUGCCUGCAGAGGCUCUGGUGGCUGAGGGUGGGUGCCUUCCAGACACGUUCUGCUUUCACUGCAUAAAUUCACAGAGAAACGUCAACACAUAAUAACAGAAAAUGGUAUUGGAACAGUGGGAAUCAGCAAUUUGCACAGGAGUCUUUGGGAGCUGUUGUUUACUGUAGUUGGCCUGAAGUUGGGACAAAAUUGGGGCAAACAAGAUGAGUUUGGUGCUUUGGAAAGUAUGAAAGCUACUAAUGAACUGUUUUCUCCUUUAUCAGAAGUAACUGAAAUUAAUGAAUCCCUUGAAGAAAAUCCAGAGUUGUCAACAAUCUUGUUAUGAAGACGAUUGACUGAUCACGAUGACACUCAGUAACCCUUCAGAACUAGAU
RNAcentral lists this long non-coding RNA (439 nucleotides) under Homo sapiens (human). RNAcentral describes it as "non-protein coding lnc-C3AR1-3:1". The record is from RNAcentral. Lineage: Eukaryota; Metazoa; Chordata; Mammalia; Primates; Hominidae.